AGCUUUGACUAGGCCAGGGGUGGGCAGUCUGGUCCUGCAGCUCUUAGACGUCUCCCUGUCCAACACACCUGGAUCCAGCAGCUGAAUCUCCUCCUCACUGCAUCAGGUUCUGCUAACGACCUCAGUAUUUGACUCGGGUGUGUUGAAGUAGAGACACAUCUACGUAGCAGGAAUCCCUCCAGGACUGGAGCUGCCCACCCCUGGACUAGACUCAGAUGCCACAGAGCUGAAGUCACCAAACAAGACGGUCAAAUCAUCCAACAGCAGGUCAGAAACCGGCCGCAGUGUGAACAGGACAGCCGUCCUCCAUGGCGGGAACUGACGUCAUGCCGCUGCCUGCGUUCAGCAGCACGUCAUUAAAUGCAUUCAGCGUUUCCUCUGCCUCCAUGCUGGACGCAGGCUGCAGCGGCAGGCGGCACACAGGUGGCAGGGAAAUUACAGCAGCCUCUGGGUUGGACUUCUUCCAGGUCAGGGAAGCCAAUAAAGCGGCUGCUAAAGCUAUAUGGCUGAGGAGGCGCCCAUGCCAGGAUAUUGCUCACUGUGCACGGGACAGUACGUUUUAUUAGUCGGAUUAUAUAAAAUAAUGCAGAUUGGAUUCAUAAGGUCAUUAAAGAACUGAAACCUGUCGGGCUUUGAACAAAAGCUCCGUUGUUUUAAAGCGUGAGAACAGAAAGUGAAACGGAACAGAGGGAACAUCCGUCAUCAGCUCUGAUCCCUCAUCACUCCAGAUUUACCGGCAGAUCCAGACCGAAACAGCCAACCAAACGUCCCAGAUCACCUUCAUACGACCUGAGCUCAAAGCUGUUUUAAUGUUUCUAUGAGUUCACAUCUGCUCCCAGAUUUCACACAGGAUGUUCUGUUAACCAAGAAAAGGAUCAAAAUCUGCAUCACCGUUUAUGAUCAUUUAUUAUUAAUCACAUGAAUAAAGUUUUAGUCCAAUCUGGACACCAAUUCCA
Molecule: long non-coding RNA, 956 nt
Organism: Poecilia latipinna (sailfin molly)
Lineage: Eukaryota; Metazoa; Chordata; Actinopteri; Cyprinodontiformes; Poeciliidae
Exons: 2
Source: RefSeq, a predicted model, not a curated record